Molecule: long non-coding RNA, 1580 nt
Organism: Pungitius pungitius (ninespine stickleback)
Lineage: Eukaryota; Metazoa; Chordata; Actinopteri; Perciformes; Gasterosteidae
Exons: 3
Source: RefSeq, a predicted model, not a curated record
UGUCUCUUGUGUCCCUGGGUAGCGUCACUUCCUGCCCUGUCCUGUGAUUGCCUGAUUGUUUCCACCUGUGUCCAAUCACCUGCACCUCCCUAGUGUAUUUAAGCCCUGUGUGCCUGUUGUCCCCUGUCGCGUCAUUGUUUCCUGUCACCUGGUCAGGUUGGUCUGUCGGUUAUGUUUGGUAAUUAUUAAAGAGCACUUUAUUUCUUGGAAAUCUGUGUUUGAGUCCUCCCUGCCUGCCUUUGACCUGCACCCUCUCCUGACAGGAUCCAAGCUUUACAGGCCAACAAAACAGUCCAUGAGAAUAUCUGCCUCGACUUAAAUAAAAGAGGAGAGCCAUUUUUGGGAGACGGAUGCUGGCAGACAGAGAUGCACAAAAUGAGGCGCAAGAUGCAGGACAAGGAGACAAAGAAAUAAGAGAGAAAAGAAGAAAAAGGAGACCAUGCAUGACACCAGUGAGAACACCUUCCUUCAUCUCCCCCUCCAUCCUACUUCAUCCAUCUCCCCCCCUCCCCCUCCGCUACCACCCACGCUUCACAGUGCUAAAGACCCCCUCCCACUCCCUCGCCCAGACAUGGACCCGCCUCCUCAUUCAUUGGUUAUCUGAACCGCCAUCAGAUAGAACCACCAUCCACAGAAGCCUGUGAAGAGGGAAAGCACAGACUUUCUGAAAAGGGUCACGGCAGUGGUCAGAACCAGGGUCCAGAUGGAACUAAGAUCUACAGCAACCUGCGAGGCGAGAAAGCACAAAAAACUCCUGGAAAUAAGCUGAAUAAGUGAUAUGCAUUAAUAAAAUGCAUCAGUGAUGGUUCUUUGUAGAACCACACUGCCUUCUAAAGAACCAUUGAAGAACCUUUUUAUGUGUGUAAGGUCCUGUCUGAAGAUGAAUCAGAUUUUUGGUAUUUGAUUGUAACUCAUUUUUUUCUUAAUCAGGACCAACUUUCACCUUGGGUUGCAACUUAAAUAAUUCUUCAUACAUUAAUACUCUGACGACGCCUUCCCGUAAAUUCCUCUUCCAUUGCACCUCAGAAUGUUUCGCUGGUCACGUCUAACGAUUUCCUGAAGGCACCACUGAUUGCAGUCAGCGAGCAUUGUGAGAGCAAGUUAUCACAAGAGGUGUAGAUGCAUAAUUAGUACAAGUGUGUAUGCUUGAGUGAAGAUUAGCAUGCUAUUGUUAUAUAAAGGAAGAAAAAAAAAAGAGAGCCAUGUUCUUAUAUAACUGCCCAUGAAAAGCAAACCAGUCACUUCACAGACAUAAAUCUACUGAACAUCGGAGUCAUUCAAUGAGUUCUUAUGUUGACUUAAUGCAGUGGCUUUCAAACUAUGGGAAACGACCCUUACAGGUGUGGCUCAAGGGGGAAUUCCGAAUUCUUUUACUUCAGGAACUUUGAGAACUGAGAAGAAUUGAGAUCCUACAAAAGUACACGCGCUGUGCCCUCAAAACAAAACACAUAUCCAAGCUCCACAUUGAAAAUGUAUUCAGUGGCUGCAUCACGUCCCCAACCCUGUUUUGAAACAGUUUGUAGAGGAAAGCAGUCAUAGCCACUGAUAAAAUGUUUCAUCAGUAUGAGAUGGUCCAUACA